UUUACCUACGGGAGGCAGCAGUGGGGAAUAUUGGGCAAUGGGCGCAAGCCUGACCCAGCAACGCCGCGUGAAGGAAGAAGGCUUUCGGGUUGUAAACUUCUUUUCUCAGGGACGAAGCAAGUGACGGUACCUGAGGAAUAAGCCACGGCUAACUACGUGCCAGCAGCCGCGGUAAUACGUAGGUGGCAAGCGUUAUCCGGAUUUACUGGGUGUAAAGGGCGUGUAGGCGGGGACGCAAGUCAGAUGUGAAAACCACGGGCUCAACCUGUGGCCUGCCUUUGAAACU
This 286-nucleotide ribosomal RNA is filed under the name uncultured bacterium. RNAcentral's name for it is "partial 16S ribosomal RNA". It matches the Rfam family "Bacterial small subunit ribosomal RNA", at positions 334 to 634 of the family's 1533-position model. The record is from RNAcentral.